This 119-nucleotide ribosomal RNA is filed under the name Anolis carolinensis (green anole). The record is from RNAcentral. Lineage: Eukaryota; Metazoa; Chordata; Lepidosauria; Squamata; Anolidae.
AAAUGUGUCCUAAAUAUCAGAAAAGCACCAGGUUCCAUCAAAUCUUGGAUGCUAAGCGGGGCCAGUGCUGGUUAGUACAUGGAUGGGAGACUGCCAUGGAAUAAUAGGUGCUAUAUGUC